CCUGAUGCAGCAACGCCGCGUGAGUGAAGAAGGUCUUUGGAUUGUAAAGCUCUUUCGGCUAGGAAGAAGGGUUUGUAGGCUAAUACCCUAUAAAUUUGACGGUACUAGAAGAAGAAGCACCGGCUAAAUCCGUGCCAGCAGCCGCGGUAAUACGGAUGGUGCAAGCGUUGUUCGGAAUGACUGGGCGUAAAGAGCACGUAGGCGGGCUCGUAAGUCGAAUGUGAAAGCCCCGGGCUUAACCUGGGAACUGCAUUCGAAACUGCGAGUCUUGAAUGCUUGAGAGGUUCGUGGAAUUCCAGGUGUAGGAGUGAAAUCCGUAGAUAUCUGGAGGAACACCAGAGGCGAAGGCGACGAACUGGCGAUGCAUUGACGCUGAGGUGCGAAAGCGUGGGUAGCAAACAGGAUUAGAUACCCUGGUAGUCCACGCCGUAAACGAUGGAUACUAAGUGUUUGGAGAGUUAACCCUCUGAGUACUACAGCUAACGCAUUAAGUAUCCCGCCUGGGGAGUACGGUCGCAAGGCUAAAACUCAAAGGAAUUGACGGGGGCCCGCACAAGCGGUGGAGUAUGUGGUUUAAUUCGAAGCUACGCGCAGAACCUUACCUACCCUUAACAUCCCAGGACAGCCACAGAG
RNAcentral lists this ribosomal RNA (633 nucleotides) under uncultured bacterium. Its description in RNAcentral is "bacterial SSU rRNA". It matches the Rfam family "Bacterial small subunit ribosomal RNA", at positions 382 to 1005 of the family's 1533-position model. The record is from RNAcentral.